This 28-nucleotide transfer RNA is filed under the name Rhynchosia minima (least snoutbean). RNAcentral describes it as "partial tRNA-Leu". The record is from RNAcentral. Lineage: Eukaryota; Viridiplantae; Streptophyta; Magnoliopsida; Fabales; Fabaceae. RNAcentral also lists the same sequence under 120 other names.
GCCGCUAUGGUGAAAUUGGUAGACACGC